RNAcentral lists this long non-coding RNA (222 nucleotides) under Elaeis guineensis (African oil palm). Its description in RNAcentral is "long non-coding RNA (EGUI_LNC057709)". The record is from RNAcentral. Lineage: Eukaryota; Viridiplantae; Streptophyta; Magnoliopsida; Arecales; Arecaceae.
CUCCCCCAGAAGUCGGGCUCCACCCACGACCCUGCUCCACUUCCUGUGGCGGACUCCGCGCAGUUCCAUCAUUCCCUGACAGGCCGCAGUAGCCAUCGCCACCCUGCUCCACUUCUUGUAGCAGAUUCCACACAGCUCCACUACCCCCUGGCAGGCCGCAAUAACGGCCACGAACCUGCUCCACCUCCUGCGACGGAUUCCACACGAUUCUCCCAUCUGCUG